UUCGCAAUGCCCGAAAGGGUGACGAAGCGACGCCGCGUGUGGGAAGAAGGCCUUCGGGUUGUAAACCACUGUCGGGAGUUAGGAAAUGCAGGUGCGUUAAUAGCGCACUUGCUUGACUAAGGCUCCAGAGGAAGCCACGGCUAACUCUGUGCCAGCAGCCGCGGUAAUACAGAGGCGGCAAGCGUUGUUCGGAAUUAUUGGGCGUAAAGAGCACGUAGGCGGCUGUGUAAGUCGGUUGUGAAAGCCUUCCGCUCAACGGAAGAACGGCAUCCGAUACUGCAUGGCUUGAGUGUGGGAGGGGAGAGUGGAACUUCUGGUGGAGCGGUGAAAUGCGUAGAUAUCAGAAGGAACACCGGCGGCGAAGGCGACUCUCUGGUCCAUAACUGACGCUGAGUGUGCGAAAGCUAGGGGAGCAAACGGGAUUAGAUACCCCGGUAGUCCUAGCCGUAAACGAUGGGCACUAAGUAGAGGGGUUUU
This 477-nucleotide ribosomal RNA is filed under the name uncultured anaerobic ammonium-oxidizing bacterium. RNAcentral's name for it is "bacterial SSU rRNA". It matches the Rfam family "Bacterial small subunit ribosomal RNA", at positions 365 to 832 of the family's 1533-position model. The record is from RNAcentral.